CCCUUAGACGUUCUGGGCCGCACGCGCGCUACACUGACCAGUGCAACAAGCAUCCGUCCUUGGCCGACAGGCCCGGGCAAUCUUUGAACGCUGGUCGUGAUGGGGAUAGACUUUUGCAAUUUUUGGUCUUCAACGAGGAAUCCCUAGUAAACGCAAGUCAUCAACUUGCAUUGAUUACGUCCCUGCCCUUUGUACACACCGCCCGUCGCACCUACCGAUUGAAUGGUCCGGUGAAGCCUCCGGAUUGGCGCGCACCUCGGUGCCGCCGAGAAGUUGGCUAAACCUUACCAUUUAGAGGAAGGUGAAGUCGUAACA
Molecule: ribosomal RNA, 315 nt
Filed under: uncultured eukaryote
Lineage: Eukaryota
Description: partial 18S ribosomal RNA
Rfam family: Eukaryotic small subunit ribosomal RNA
Source: RNAcentral